RNAcentral lists this ribosomal RNA (492 nucleotides) under uncultured bacterium. RNAcentral's name for it is "partial 16S ribosomal RNA". It matches the Rfam family "Bacterial small subunit ribosomal RNA", at positions 29 to 507 of the family's 1533-position model. The record is from RNAcentral.
AGUGAACGCUGGCGGUAGGCCUAACACAUGCAAGUCGAACGGCAGCACAGUGAGAGCUUGCUCUUACGGGUGGCGAGUGGCGGACGGGUGAGGAAUACAUCGGAAUCUACUUUUUCGUGGGGGAUAACGUAGGGAAACUUACGCUAAUACCGCAUACGACCUACGGGUGAAAGCAGGGGAUCUUCGGACCUUGCGCGAUUGAAUGAGCCGAUGUCGGAUUAGCUAGUUGGCGGGGUAAAGGCCCACCAAGGCGACGAUCCGUAGCUGGUCUGAGAGGGUGAUCAGCCACACUGGAACUGAGACACGGUCCAUACUCCUACGGGAGGCAGCAGUGGGGAAUAUUGGACAAUGGGCGCAAGCCUGAUCCAGCCAUACCGCGUGGGUGAAGAAGGCCUUCGGGUUGUAAAGCCCUUUUGUUGGGAAAGAAAAGCAGCAGGUUAAUACCCCGCUGUUCUGACGGUACCCAAAGAAUAAGCACCGGCUAACUUCGUG